AACGAACGCUGGCGGCAUGCCUAACACAUGCAAGUUGAGCGAGAACCGAAGAGCUUGCUUUUCGGGGAAAGCAGCGCACGGGUGAGUAACGCGUGGGUAACGUGCCCUGGGGUUGGGGAUAACUCACCGAAAGGUGAGCUAAUACCGAAUGUGUUCCUAUUAAGUGAGCUUUUUAGGAAGAAAGCGGGGCAACCCGCGCCCGAGGAUCGGCCCGCGUUCCAUCAGUUUGUUGGUGGGGUAAUGGCCUACCAAGACUACGACGGAUAGCUGGUCUGAGAGGAUGAUCAGCCACACUGGGACUGAGACACGGCCCAGACUCCUACGGGAGGCAGCAGUGGGGAAUAUUGGUCAAUGGGCGAAAGCCUGAACCAGCAAUGCCGCGUGAGUGAUGAAGGCCUUCGGGUUGUAAAGCUCUGUCAGUGGGAACGAAUAAGCCGAUUAAUACCCGGUGAUGACGGUACCCACAAAGGAAGCACCGGCUAACUCUGUG
This 490-nucleotide ribosomal RNA is filed under the name uncultured bacterium. RNAcentral describes it as "bacterial SSU rRNA". It matches the Rfam family "Bacterial small subunit ribosomal RNA", at positions 29 to 507 of the family's 1533-position model. The record is from RNAcentral.